UCCUCGCACUCUGGAGAGCGGCAACGGCACGCACGAAGCCAGUUGCCCACCGAAGGGGCGCGCGAUGGACCCGCAAGCACACGCUCGCGAAUCCGCGCAAUCUCUCAGGUACCGAGGACAGAGGGGUCACG
Molecule: non-coding RNA, 131 nt
Filed under: Burkholderia sp. 8Y
Lineage: Bacteria; Pseudomonadati; Pseudomonadota; Betaproteobacteria; Burkholderiales; Burkholderiaceae
Description: Glycine
Rfam family: Glycine riboswitch aptamer
About the family: This family represents the bacterial glycine riboswitch. Glycine riboswitches usually consist of two metabolite-binding aptamers domains with similar structures in tandem.
Source: RNAcentral